GCGAGUUAGGCAGCAGCAUGUCCACAGCUCACACCCCGGCAGCUUUGGGCACAGGAGCCUGGCAUCCCGCUGGCCCAACAGCUCCGCGUUUGUCCCGCUGCCUGCUGGGCUCCCGAUCCUUUGCAGCCGGAGAAGACCGGGAGUGACCUGGAAUAACAAAGGAAUCGGUGCCGCAGCAGCACCUAAGGCUGAAGGGCGCCCAGAGACGGAACUUGCCCGCUGGCUUCAGGGCGAGGAAUCGCUGGGAGGGGCACGGUGUGAACCGGGACACGUGUGACACCUCCCCUGUGACACCUCCCCUGGGAAUAAACCACGGCUCCCGAGCCUGGCUUCUCCCUGCCUGCGAGCCCAGGAACUGCAGAACACAGCAGCCAGAGCACAUCUGCUGAUGGCAAAUUUAGGAAGACAAUAUCCUUGUUAGCCUGUCAGAAUUCCAAAAGGUUUCUGACAAAAGCAAACGCCCCGGUUCUUUCAGGUCUCACCUCCAGCUUGUGGCUUUCCCAGCGGCGGCAGGAAAGAGGCAGGAGGCAGAGCCAGCAAUUCCUGCAUUUGCCCGUGAGGAACCUUCCGGGGGAUUUAGGUGAUUCAGGGAGAUCCCACGAAUGUCUCUGCGUGAGAGUGUCCCACCCUGAACGUCGCCUUUGGGCACUGGAAGCAGCUCAGCCAAAGCCCUGUGUGCUCCUUCCAGGCCUGGAUUGUGUUCCCUGUGAACCAAGGAUCGCCCGGACACAGAUCAGGGCACCACUACCAGCCCCUUCCAGCACAUGCUGUGGUCACUGAGCAGAAAGCACAAUCCAUGGAGCAAAAGCAGCAGUGAGAGGCCCUGCAGCACCAGUUUGUGUAAGUGACAGGUUUUGAUGCUCUUUGCAAUCCGUUCUCAGGAAUUAAAAGCAGCUCAGCCCUUGCAGCCGGACUCACCCACCCUUGCUGCCCGCUCAGCCUUUUCCUGGGAUCCUUUAGGUGGGAGAAGGGUCCACACGAGAACCCAAAUGUGAAUUCCUGCUGCCACACCUGGCCCAGCAUCCCUGGCUGCACUCUCUUUCCCCUGCACAGGCUGGAAAUGCUCUCCAGGGGAAUUUUCUGCUUCGUCACAAUUCCAGCCCUUGGGCUGGGCACUGGAUCGCCUCUGCAAUUAAGUUUUAUUCUUUUACGCAUCAUCGACCUUCAAGCCGAUUUCUGAGAUGCAGUUGCACCUUCAAGGGAGUCCUACAGAGCAAAACCAAUCAUUCCAUUGGACACUGCGUCCCCAAAGUGUCUGUGUCCAGUGAGGAAUCUGCAAGCGCUGCUUCAAUUCAAAACCUAUCGCUGUUCAUCAGAAAAUCCCAGAAACAGUUACGCAACUUGGAUUUCCACACACUUUACUAAAAUUAGCAAGAUUUUCAGCAGUUUUUCAGUCAUUUGGGAGCUUGAGAGAACCAUUUCUAGAAUUUUAUUUGCAGACCUUGCAGCAGCAUUCAAUAUUUAUAAGGAAUUCCCUGUCUUAGUAGCAACGACUGACAGUUACAAAAAAUAAGUACAUUAUAAAAUGCAUUAAUAUUUUAAGUCUGCCUGAGACUGCUGGAGGAAGAUAUUGCCAGCUCUUGCCUGACUGGCUGAUAUUUAGUUCACACAAGUAACUGACAAAAGGAGACAUAUCUAGGAGGGAAAAGAGAGGGUGUAUAAGAAACUGCAACAGCUACAGUGAAAGAUUUGUCUGUGUUUACACAAUAAAUCAGCAGCAGAAUCAGGAAAAGAACCUUUUUUUCCUGUUUUUGUUCCAGCCACUCAUUCAGUGCUGUUAUGCACUCAGAUAUUGCUUUUGGGUUCUGAAUAAAACCCCUCCUCAUCCUCCAAAUAAAAUGUUGAGGUUGUGCUGAAUCCAGGUUUUCCCACAAAAAUACAAAUAACUCACAUUUAAUGAUGCAGCUGAGAGAAAAGAUAAAUCUUGAGCUGGCUGUUAUAAAGUGCUUUUUCCUGAACCCUCCUGCCUGCUGGGUGCCGGCAGUGCUGGCCACGAGCCAGGGCUGUUUACGGUGCCAGCGUGGCUGUCCCACACUCCUGAGCAUCUGCACAUUUUGUUCCUGGCAUAUUUGUGUCUGUGGAGCCAGCUGACCUUGAAACUCUCAUCAGAGGGAGGGAAAAAAAAAAAAUCAGCAGCCAGGAGCUACCACCCUCCAUAUAUUCCAGUUAUUAUCAGAAUAUUUUUCCUCUGUUCAGUUUGCGCAGAAAUGACAUUCAAUAACACCGAAAAUGUUCCCUCUGUCCCGAGAGAGGCAUGUUCAGAGCGAAACCAGAGGAAAUUAAAGACCUCUCCAGCAAUCCCCCGGCACGGGUUCAUA
Corvus hawaiiensis (hawaiian crow) is the source of this 2318-nucleotide long non-coding RNA. RefSeq lists it as uncharacterized. The transcript has 3 exons. NCBI's taxonomy places the organism in Eukaryota, Metazoa, Chordata, Aves, Passeriformes, Corvidae. The record is from RefSeq and is a predicted model, not a curated record.